RNAcentral lists this ribosomal RNA (487 nucleotides) under uncultured bacterium. Its description in RNAcentral is "partial 16S ribosomal RNA". It matches the Rfam family "Bacterial small subunit ribosomal RNA", at positions 899 to 1397 of the family's 1533-position model. The record is from RNAcentral.
ACUCAAAGGAAUUGACGGGGGCCCGCACAAGCAGCGGAGCGUGUGGUUUAAUUCGAUGAUACGCGAAGAACCUCACCCAGGUUUGACAUGCAUGUGGUACAGAGGUGAAAGCCGACGGACCUUUCGGGGAGCAUGCACAGGUGUUGCACGGCCGUCGUCAGCUCGUGCCGUGAGGUGUUGGGUUAAGUCCCGCAACGAGCGCAACCCCUGUCGCCAGUUGUAUUUUUCUGGCGAGACUGCCGAGAAAACCUCGGAGGAAGGAGGGGACGAUGUCAGGUCAGCGUGGCCCUUACGCCUGGGGCUACACACACGCUACAAUGGGUGGUACAACGGGCAGCCAAGCCGCGAGGCGGAGCUAAUCCCAUCAAAGCCAUCCUCAGUUCGGAUUGCAGGCUGAAACCCGCCUGCAUGAAGCCGGAGUUGCUAGUAAACGCAGGUCAGCAUUACUGCGUUGAAUACGUUCCCGGGCCUUGUACACACCGCCCGU